UACGGAGGGUGCAAGCGUUGCUCGGAAUUAUUGGGCGUAAAGGGUAGGUAGGCGGUCUCAUUUGUCUGAGGUGAAAGCCUUGGGCUUAACCCAAGAAGUGCCUCAGAAACGGUGAGACUAGAGUCCUAGAGAGGGUCGUGGAAUUCCCGGUGUAGCGGUGAAAUGCGUAGAGAUCGGGAGGAACACCAGAGGCGAAGGCGGCGACCUGGAUAGGUACUGACGCUCAACUACGAAAGCGUGGGGAGCAAACAGG
This 253-nucleotide ribosomal RNA is filed under the name uncultured bacterium. RNAcentral's name for it is "partial 16S ribosomal RNA". It matches the Rfam family "Bacterial small subunit ribosomal RNA", at positions 524 to 776 of the family's 1533-position model. The record is from RNAcentral.